GGGCGCGUAGCUCAGCGGGAGAGCACUUCGUUGACAUCGAAGGGGUCGCUGGUUCAAUCCCAGCCGCGCCCACCA
Molecule: transfer RNA, 75 nt
Filed under: Alphaproteobacteria bacterium
Lineage: Bacteria; Pseudomonadati; Pseudomonadota; Alphaproteobacteria
Also listed under: 1 other name
Description: tRNA-Val
Rfam family: tRNA
About the family: Transfer RNA (tRNA) molecules are approximately 80 nucleotides in length. Their secondary structure includes four short double-helical elements and three loops (D, anti-codon, and T loops).
Source: RNAcentral